GUUGCCCCCUUACUAACAUUCAGUGGGGGUGUUUUGGUUGGCUAGCUCCCAGUACUAAAAGGGGAAGGGUCUAUGGGAAACCAGGACCCUGAGACUGAUAGUCCUCAGGAACAAUUGGGAGAGGCAAUGCUCCAGGUCAGCCUGAAUGACAGGGCGGGCAGGCUAAUCAGGGAGUCAGGAGGCCAGGGCGGUCCCAUCCUUCGUGUGAGCUGGCAGCUGGCUGAACCAGAGG
Long non-coding RNA from Dermochelys coriacea (leatherback sea turtle), 232 nucleotides. RefSeq lists it as uncharacterized. Lineage: Eukaryota; Metazoa; Chordata; Testudines; Dermochelyidae. The record is from RefSeq and is a predicted model, not a curated record. The transcript has 3 exons.